Molecule: ribosomal RNA, 346 nt
Filed under: uncultured bacterium
Lineage: Bacteria
Description: partial 16S ribosomal RNA
Rfam family: Bacterial small subunit ribosomal RNA
Source: RNAcentral
UGGGGAAUAUUGCACAAUGGGCGCAAGCCUGAUGCAGCCAUGCCGCGUGUAUGAAGAAGGCCUUCGGGUUGUAAAGUACUUUCAGCGGGGAGGAAGGCGAUAAGGUUAAUAACCUUGUCGAUUGACGUUACCCGCAGAAGAAGCACCGGCUAACUCCGUGCCAGCAGCCGCGGUAAUACGGAGGGUGCAAGCGUUAAUCGGAAUUACUGGGCGUAACGCGCACGCAGGCGGUCUGUCAAGUCGGAUGUGAAAUCCCCGGGCUCAACCUGGGAACUGCAUUCGAAUCUGGCAGGCUGGAGUCGUGUAGAGGGGGGUAGAAUUCCAGGUGUAGCGGUGAAAUGCGUAG